UUGAAAGGGAAACGAUUGAAGUCAGUCGUACCUGCGGACAAUCAGCCUUUCGGGUGCGAUUAUGUGGAGCGUGGGGAGCUAAACACCUUCAUGCCUGCGUAUUUGUAUUCUAGGGUGUACUUGGACGUGCGGUAGGUUAACAUCAAUUUCGGACGUCAUAAAAUGGCUGGAGGAAUGUAGCUUCGGUCUCGUACUGAAGUGUUAUAGCCUUCGGCAGAUAUGGUGACCGGGAUUGAGGAUUGCAACGGAUACCUUUUGGGCUACCCGCCUGAUCUCUGAAAGUUGCUCUGGUGCCGAAAGCUUGCUUACGGUUAUCAAAGUUGACGUUCAAAAGGUUAGAACGGGUUAAAUUCGUUAAGGAUGUUGACGUA
This 371-nucleotide ribosomal RNA is filed under the name uncultured Glomeromycotina. RNAcentral describes it as "LSU rRNA". Lineage: Eukaryota; Fungi; Glomeromycota. The record is from RNAcentral.